RNAcentral lists this ribosomal RNA (739 nucleotides) under uncultured bacterium. RNAcentral's name for it is "bacterial SSU rRNA". It matches the Rfam family "Bacterial small subunit ribosomal RNA", at positions 8 to 796 of the family's 1533-position model. The record is from RNAcentral.
AGAGUUUGAUCAUGGCUCAGAACGAACGCUGGCGGCAGGCUUAACACAUGCAAGUCGAACGCACCUUCGGGUGAGUGGCGCACGGGUGAGUAACGCGUGGGAACCUGUCCUUUGGUACGGAACAACACCGGGAAACUGGUGCUAAUACCGUAUAAGCCCCGAGGGGGAAAGAUUUAUCGCCAAAGGAGGGGCCCGCGUAGGAUUAGCUAGUUGGUGAGGUAACGGCUCACCAAGGCGACGAUCCUUAGCUGGUCUGAGAGGAUGAUCAGCCACACUGGGACUGAGACACGGCCCAGACUCCUACGGGAGGCAGCAGUGGGGAAUAUUGGACAAUGGGGGAAACCCUGAUCCAGCCAUGCCGCGUGAGUGAUGAAGGCCUUCGGGUUGUAAAGCUCUUUCGCACGUGACGAUAAUGACGGUAACGUGAGAAGAAGCCCCGGCUAACUUCGUGCCAGCAGCCGCGGUAAUACGAAGGGGGCAAGCGUUGUUCGGAAUUACUGGGCGUAAAGGGCGCGUAGGCGGUGCGCUAAGUCAGAUGUGAAAGCCCUGGGCUCAACCCGGGAAUUGCAUUUGAUACUGGCGUGCUCGAAUCCGGGAGAGGUUGGUGGAAUUCCCAGUGUAGAGGUGAAAUUCGUAGAGAUUGGGAAGAACACCGGUGGCGAAGGCGGCCNCUGGACCGGUAUUGACGCUGAGGCGCGAAAGCGUGGGGAGCAAACAGGAUUAGAUACCCCAGUAGUCC